This is an RNA transcript of Alligator sinensis (Chinese alligator), 2709 nucleotides long. RefSeq lists it as uncharacterized. Lineage: Eukaryota; Metazoa; Chordata; Crocodylia; Alligatoridae. The transcript has 2 exons. The record is from RefSeq and is a predicted model, not a curated record.
CAAUAAAUCUUUCUUACCUUUCUACCCCCGACCAUACUCUCAAACCCAAACCCUCCGCAGGCAGCUGGGACAUAAAUUGACGAUACGAACAGGAUUGAGAGGCUCUGGUCCGGAGAGAAAGGUCGGAAUGGAGGGAGUUGUGUGGGCCCCGUUAGUAGCUUUGCUUAAGGAGGUGACGGGGAUAGAGAAUCCCGGGUGGGAUAAGGAUAGGUUGAGACCUGCCUGGAGUGACCCGGGAACUGUACCCAAUCAUUGGGCUAGGUUUGCUACUGCUGCCCGGGGUAAGCCCGAGAAGGGGUGCCUGUCAUGGCUGCUGGCAACAUGCCUGCGGUUAGGGGCCAAAGAGAAUGCCCAGCUCUGGGAGGAGGUCAUCUGGCUGAGUAAGGAGUUAAAAGAUGUGAGAAAUUCCAACAGCGUGGCAGGUCAUGAGAGCUAUGCAGAGCUGCUUGGAAACAUUCAAACAGAAGAAAGGAAAAAUUAUGGUCCUGUGCGUAGCUGCUCCCCUCCAAAAGAAAGUGCAGUUAGUGCAGGCUAUGAAGCGAUCCUCCCACAAGUGUCUGUAUAGAGAUAAACCAAAAGUUAAGCUCUGGGAAAAUCAAAGGGAAGAAAUUUAUGGAGAGGAGGAGAUUUAUGACGUGCCUGGUGCUGAAACACCCCCGUAUGUUCCUGCCCAGAGGGAGGAACCUAGCCAGGCCUUCCCCGCCCCGAGGGAGAAACUCAGCCAAGUUUUUCCUGUGGUGAUAACUCAUUCAAGGACGCAAGGAGAGAAUCCCCGAACAGAGCUGCAUUCCUUUAUCUGUGCAAAGAGUAAAAAUAUUCAAAAGGAGCAUGAAUGCAAGCCAGGAAAACCAGUAAUAGACUGGCUACUUCAAAUGUAUAGUGAAGGGGCAUUUGCAAUUUCAGUAAAUAGAGCCAAAGCAGCCCAAAUGGUUCUGUGCCCUGAUCUCCAGUUAAAUCAGUUUGCAAGAAGUGAUGAAAAUCACUUUGUUACUUUGUUUUCUGCUGCACUUCAAGCCACUGCAGCCAGCUAUGGUAAUAUAGAAGAAGAGCUUAACCCUGCCUCUUGGGCAUGUGCCAAUUUAAAAGAGGCUCUCCACUACUUGUAUCUAUUAUCACUAACUGAAAUCAUUCGUACAGCGGUUUGGACUCACAUGCCAGAUGCAGAAGUCGUGACAGCACUGCUGUGGAGGAGGUUUUGCUGGCAACCACCAACAAAGUGCACCUCAGCCUUGUUGGCCUUGGAGCCAGAUGCGGUGAAUCACCCAGUAAGAGAUGCGAUCCAGCAAUUAGUGCAGCUUCUACCCAUUUUGCAGAAGCCAAGGCUUACCAAGCUGAUGAAAACUGCCAAGGCCAUGGCAGUGAGCUCGGUGAAAGAUAAACCCCCUGACCCCCCCGCCAAAUUGUUGAGAAAAGCUGGGAAAGGCCGGCCCAAGACUCCACAAGCAAAAAUGUGGAAAGACUUGUUAGCUGCCUGUUACAAUGAAGUGCAAAUCAAUAGACUGCCCAUCAAUGCCUUGCAAGGGCUAAGAGCUAAACACUGUACCAAAAGGACAAGACCAAAAGCAGAGCCUUUUGUGCCACCAAUAGUGUCACCAGAGAGAUUCUGUGCCCUGAGGGCAAAACUGUCAACAUUUUCCCAGGCACAUGCAGAGCCGCCAGCCUUUACCCUGCCUGAUCACAUGGCCUAAGGAGUCCGGCCAGCCCAACCCCCAAAGAAAAGAGCCACAAUGGGGGUAGUAGCAGGCCAAGAACUUGUAUCUAAAGUUAAUAUUGGGCCCUUAAUUCAGAUACCUGUACAGAUUCAAUUAAGUAAAAGUGAAAAGUCAAUUGAUAUACUAUUAAACACGGGUGCCCAGAUUUGCAUUUCAGAUUCCACAGAUUGGAAGGGGGAGAAAGGAACCCCUUAUCAAGUAAUUAGAGUCGGAGGCACCAGACGACCAGGACAUCUAGUCCGAGCAACCUUCGUAUUACCUAAUGGCUCUAAGCUGCUGUCCCAUCAUUACCAGCCUUGACAGAAAGCAUCCGAUGUUAUGGACCCGUGUGGAUGGGAUCCGUUGAUAUCAAAGACAUGUUUUUUGCUAUUUCCAUCCAGGAGAGCCACUGGCCAGUAUUUGCUUUUAUGUGGAUAGGGCAGCAUGCUGCCCCAGGGAUGAAUACACAGCCCCACCCUGGCUCAUGGAGUUUUAGCUACAAUAGUUCAUGAAGUUCAAGAAAAGUAACCUGAUGUACGCAUGUGGCAGUACAUCGAUGACAUCAUGGUAGGCAGUCAAGACAGAGAGGCUGCCAUCAAGGCCUUUGAAUCAUUGAAAGAAAAAGUGCUUACCUUUGGAUUCACACUGUCUGAACAAAAAAUCCAAGAGGUCGGGCCCCAGUGUGAAUUUCUAGGAAUAGAAUGGCAGAAUGGGAGGCCCACAAUACCAGCUGAGGAGCUGCGAAAUAUAGUAGAGACCCCGACUCCCACUAAUGUGAAAGAGCUGCAAGCCCAAUUGGGAGCACUACAUUUCUGGCGUAUGCAUGUUCCUGAGUUUAGCAUAUUGGCUCGUCCCUUGUAUAAUCUAUGUAAAAAGAGAACUAAAUGGGAAUGGGGUCCUGAGCAUAAAUAUGCCUUACAAGCCCUUAAAGAAGCAGUAAGUGUUCAUGCCUCUCUAGCAGCACGACGUCCCGAAGGAGAGCUUUGGCUCCAUAUAGGUGUCUCGGAAGGAGGACCAC